RNAcentral lists this unclassified non-coding RNA (267 nucleotides) under Melitaea cinxia (Glanville fritillary). Its description in RNAcentral is "misc RNA ENSMCXG00005018862.1". The record is from RNAcentral. Lineage: Eukaryota; Metazoa; Arthropoda; Insecta; Lepidoptera; Nymphalidae.
AUCUACAGUACAUUGCAGUAAAAGAAACUCAGGAAGAGGAAAACGGUCAAGGGAAGCACUGAAUAAGGCGAUAGAAGUUGUUUUGAAGCGAGAAACGGGAUAUACAUAUGUUGGCAGCAAACUUUUUCUUAGUCCCACAAACUACUUUGGAAUGAAAGGUAAAAAAGGUUAAAAAAGAAUGUAAAGGUACCUUUGGGUACCAGUAUUUUCGCAAAAAGAAGAAGAGGAUGAACAUAAUGGAUUAUUUACUAGACAUAGAAAUCGGGU